UCCCAUUAAUUCCAACUCUUUAUCUAUUUCAGAUAACCCGAGAAAAUUAAAAAAAAAAAACCCCAAAAAUGAGGCCCAACAAAAAAUCAUCAUCUUCUUCAUCUAAGCGAGCCAAUCGAACCCAACCCAUAAACCCAAACUCAUCCCCUCGCUCCUCUCCUCGAGCCUCCGCCUCUCUCCUCGACUCCCCUCUUUCGGCCUCGGACGACGUUAAGACUCUCGAUGAUCUGCAGGAACAGUACACCGCCAACCCUCGUAGCUUCCCUUACAGCGUGAAGCAGCAGUGCUGGGGGAAGGCGGAGAGGGUGAAGGGCCGAGAUCCCGACCGGUGGCGGCGGGACCCACUUGGGAAUCUGGUGUUCAGGAAGCUCGUGGGGUGCGCUGGUUGCCUCUGCCAUGAUUAUGAUCACAUUGUUCCUUUCUCUAAGGGCGGAAAGAGCACACUGGAGAACUGCCAGGUUUUGCAGGCAACUGUUAACCGAGCCAAGGGGAAUAAAACAGAGAUAUCCAGAUCAGACCUUAUACAAAAGAGUUCUUACUGUAAAGUGUCAGGAAGAGACAUGGAUCUUCUAGAAAUCUCUGCAUACGGAAAUGUGCGUCGUGGUCAGGAUUCUGGGGGUUGUAAUAUACAGUAACAACACAGAAGGUAUCAAAGAAUGUUUCAAGGUACUCUAGACCUUCAAGCUUUCAAUCCUCAGCGCAAUUUCGAAGAGGGAACAAUGGAAGGGAUGUUCAGCGAAAGAAUGAAUAGGGAGAUUGAAAAUGACUAUCCUGGAUCGGGUGCCAAUAAUCGUCACACACCAAAACCGCCUGGAAGAAAAAUGAAGUGAUUUCUAUUAGAAAACGUCGAAGGAGGAAAUACUGUAUUAUCUAACAUAACGUGCUACAAAUUUGCAAAAUAGCAAAGUAGUUAGUUCUAGUGAAAGUUGAACUGAAUGUCAGAUUAUGAUGUAGUGAUGCAACUAUUUAUGCUUCUGUCUGAAAUCCGAAUGUUUUUAAAAUUUCAAGCUUAAGUAUGACUUUUCAGUAUGAAUAUCCAAUAUUGUGGACUUUCUUCUUCAGCCA
This is an RNA transcript of Asparagus officinalis (garden asparagus), 1065 nucleotides long. RefSeq lists it as uncharacterized. The transcript has 6 exons. The record is from RefSeq and is a predicted model, not a curated record. Lineage: Eukaryota; Viridiplantae; Streptophyta; Magnoliopsida; Asparagales; Asparagaceae.